UGACACUGCAGAGAAACUCACCUAAGG
Molecule: non-coding RNA, 27 nt
Filed under: Homo sapiens (human)
Lineage: Eukaryota; Metazoa; Chordata; Mammalia; Primates; Hominidae
Source: RNAcentral